UGUGGUGCGACACAUUUAAGCAGCUGACCGUGCCCUGCCGCCCGACCGUGCCGGACCCGCCACUCUGCCCCCUCCCCCCUUCUUCUCCGGUGGCGGCGGAUCUUGCGUUCUCAACGGCGGCGGCGGAGCCCUCGUUCUCAACGGCGGCGGAGCCUUCGUCCUCAAAAAAUGGUUGUGAGGGGAGCCCAUGGGCAUACUGAGAUGGAGCCCCCAGAUUCAACUUCGAAUAG
Molecule: long non-coding RNA, 230 nt
Organism: Triticum dicoccoides
Lineage: Eukaryota; Viridiplantae; Streptophyta; Magnoliopsida; Poales; Poaceae
Exons: 3
Source: RefSeq, a predicted model, not a curated record